UACGUAGGUGACCAGCGUUGUCCGGAUUUACUGGGCGUAAAGAGCGCGCAGGCGGUCGUUCAAGUCGAGUGUGAAAGCCCCCGGCUCAACUGGGGAGGGUCAUUCGAUACUGAUCGACUCGAAGGCAGGAGAGGGAAGCGGAAUUCCCGGUGUAGUGGUGAAAUGCGUAGAUAUCGGGAGGAACACCAGUGGCGAAGGCGGCUUCCUGGACCGACACUGACGCUGAGGCGCGAAAGCUAGGGGAGCAAACGGG
RNAcentral lists this ribosomal RNA (253 nucleotides) under uncultured bacterium. Its description in RNAcentral is "partial 16S ribosomal RNA". It matches the Rfam family "Bacterial small subunit ribosomal RNA", at positions 524 to 776 of the family's 1533-position model. The record is from RNAcentral.